RNAcentral lists this ribosomal RNA (224 nucleotides) under uncultured bacterium. RNAcentral describes it as "partial 16S ribosomal RNA". It matches the Rfam family "Bacterial small subunit ribosomal RNA", at positions 524 to 747 of the family's 1533-position model. The record is from RNAcentral.
UACGUAGGGCGCAAGCGUUGUCCGGAAUUAUUGGGCGUAAAGAGCUCGUAGGCGGUUUGUCGCGUCUGCUGUGAAAACUCGAGGCUCAACCUCGGGCUUGCAGUGGGUACGGGCAGACUAGAGUGCGGUAGGGGAGACUGGAAUUCCUGGUGUAGCGGUGGAAUGCGCAGAUAUCAGGAGGAACACCGAUGGCGAAGGCAGGUCUCUGGGCCGCAACUGACGCU